RNAcentral lists this ribosomal RNA (209 nucleotides) under Cronobacter malonaticus 681. Its description in RNAcentral is "Large Subunit Ribosomal RNA; lsuRNA; LSU rRNA". It matches the Rfam family "Bacterial large subunit ribosomal RNA", at positions 1525 to 1732 of the family's 2925-position model. The record is from RNAcentral. Lineage: Bacteria; Pseudomonadati; Pseudomonadota; Gammaproteobacteria; Enterobacterales; Enterobacteriaceae.
UGACUUUCCAGGCAAAUCCGGAAGGUUAAGGCUGAGGCGUGAUGACGAGGCACCACGGUGCUGAAGUGACAAAUGCCCUGCUUCCAGGAAAAGCCUCUAAGCAUCAGGUAACAUCAAAUCGUACCCCAAACCGACACAGGUGGUCAGGUAGAGAAUACCAAGGCGCUUGAGAGAACUCGGGUGAAGGAACUAGGCAAAAUGGUGCCGUA